GCUAGGCGUGGUGGCAGGCACCUUUAGUCCCAGCUACCGAGGAGGCCAAGAUGAGAGGCUUCCUUGAGUCCAGGAGAGUGUGGCCCUCCUGGACAAUAGAGUGAGACUUCGCCUCUU
This 117-nucleotide small RNA is filed under the name Marmota monax (woodchuck). Lineage: Eukaryota; Metazoa; Chordata; Mammalia; Rodentia; Sciuridae. The record is from RNAcentral.